AAGUGUCAUACCAUAAGGGGGCAAGGGGUGCAGUGAUCUAAAAGGGAUGUUUGGAAAGGCUAUGGUAGACCUACCCUGCAAUACUAAUGUCUUACAGCAGUUAUUGGUGAGGAAAUUACUCUUUCAAUUGCAAUUCUGUCAUCCAUUAAACUCCAGCACCAAAACAGCACAGGGCCUUUUAUCUCCUUCCACCAAUGGGUUAAGGAGUGGUUUCUCUGAAAAAACAUCUAGUUCGAGAAGGGGGAAAGAGUGGCAGAAAAUUGAGAAGAUCAAAUUGUUGACAUGUAUUAUCCAAAUGAUGCAUGCGACAUGCAAUAUAAUCCCUCGUUCACAACUUACUAUCCUGCAUUCUGUUUCGGUUUAUCCCAGUAUUGUGUCUGCUUUCUUAGAAGGGUCUGUGGAGCUUUCUACAUUCCUCUACUUCUCCUCCAGUAUUUCACAAUAAGAAGAGUACCAUAAGACACAAAUU
Long non-coding RNA from Lycium ferocissimum, 469 nucleotides. RefSeq lists it as uncharacterized. The record is from RefSeq and is a predicted model, not a curated record. The transcript has 2 exons. NCBI's taxonomy places the organism in Eukaryota, Viridiplantae, Streptophyta, Magnoliopsida, Solanales, Solanaceae.